Molecule: ribosomal RNA, 468 nt
Filed under: uncultured bacterium
Lineage: Bacteria
Description: partial 16S ribosomal RNA
Rfam family: Bacterial small subunit ribosomal RNA
Source: RNAcentral
GACGAACGCUGGCGGCGUGCUUAACACAUGCAAGUCGAACGGAAAGGCCCUGCUUUUGUGGGGUGCUCGAGUGGCGAACGGGUGAGUAACACGUGAGUAACCUGCCCUUGACUUUGGGAUAACUUCAGGAAACUGGGGCUAAUACCGGAUAGGAGCUCCUGCUGCAUGGUGGGGGUUGGAAAGUUUCGGCGGUUGGGGAUGGACUCGCGGCUUAUCAGCUUGUUGGUGGGGUAGUGGCUUACCAAGGCUUUGACGGGUAGCCGGCCUGAGAGGGUGACCGGCCACAUGGGGACUGAGGUACGGCCCAGACUCCUACGGGAGGCAGCAGUGGGGAAUAUUGCACAAUGGGCGGAAGCCUGAUGCAACAACGCCGCGUGCGGGAUGACGGCCUUCGGGUUAUAAACCGCUUUCGCCUGUGACGAAGCGUGAGUGACGGUAAUGGGUAAAGAAGCACCGGCUAACUACGUG